UUCCCUCGGUCUGGGCUUCUCUGAGGCGGCGAGAGAUGGUCAGGUCUGGAGCUCGACCGGGCCAGACUUUUUAAAACUGUGGACUUAAAUGUUCUGCAAAGUCUUACACAAAAGCCCAAUACAGUACAUGAACUACGGAAAAGCAGAACUGCUCUGAACAAGGAAGAGGUGGGAGAUCUGAGUCCUGGCCCCAGCACCCACUUCAACUUCAGUCACCUCCUUGGAAUCUGGGGUUCUGCAGCUUGAAAUAAUCAGUUUGGAUUUUAAACUUAUUUGUAACAUAAUAAUAAUCCUAGGAACUUUAAAAUAAUAUUUUGUACUAAAUUUUAGAAUUAUUAUAAUAAGUGAUCUAAUAAAACAGUCUUUUCCUGAAA
Molecule: long non-coding RNA, 374 nt
Filed under: Homo sapiens (human)
Lineage: Eukaryota; Metazoa; Chordata; Mammalia; Primates; Hominidae
Description: non-protein coding lnc-CCDC14-1:5
Source: RNAcentral